AUUAAACGCUGGCGGCAUGCCUUACACAUGCAAGUCGAACGGCAGCACGGGGGCAACCCUGGUGGCGAGUGGCGAACGGGUGAGUAAAGCAUCGGAACGUGCCCUGGAGUGGGGGAUAACGUAGCGAAAGUUACGCUAAUACCGCAUAUUCUGUGAGCAGGAAAGCAGGGGAUCGCAAGACCUUGCGCUCUGGGAGCGGCCGAUGUCGGAUUAGCUAGUUGGUGGGGUAAAGGCCUACCAAGGCGACGAUCCGUAGCGGGUCUGAGAGGAUGAUCCGCCACACUGGGACUGAGACACGGCCCAGACUCCUACGGGAGGCAGCAGUGGGGAAUUUUGGACAAUGGGCGAAAGCCUGAUCCAGCCAUGCCGCGUGAGUGAAGAAGGCCUUCGGUUGUAAGUAGCUUUUGGUAGGGAUGAGGAAGGACGAGUACCUUCAGAAUAAGACCUCGGCUAACUACGUGCCAGCAG
Molecule: ribosomal RNA, 468 nt
Filed under: uncultured bacterium
Lineage: Bacteria
Description: bacterial SSU rRNA
Rfam family: Bacterial small subunit ribosomal RNA
Source: RNAcentral